This 566-nucleotide small RNA is filed under the name Pongo abelii (Sumatran orangutan). Its description in RNAcentral is "processed transcript". Lineage: Eukaryota; Metazoa; Chordata; Mammalia; Primates; Hominidae. The record is from RNAcentral.
AAACACAGUAAUUCCUGAUACUAAGAAGAGGCUUGGGUGCCUUAAGUAAAUACACGUGGGCAUGAAGGCCUGAUGGGGUAGAGAUCUGAAGUAGUCCUGCCAAGAACUGGGUUUACUUCUUUGUGAAUGUUACUACUCUUACACAGAAACCUCAUAUGAAUUAUCAUCCUCUGACUUAAGGAUAACAGUCAGUCUGGGAGACGUUUGGUGCUCAGAAUUUUGAUGUCAUACGACUGUCAACUUACAGAACAGCCUGCAAAUUACGAUUUGUACAAAAACGAUGCAACCUUCAUCUUGUUGAUAUCUGGAACAUGAUUGAAGCCUUCCGAGACAAUGGCCUUAAUACACUGGACCAUACCACCGAGAUCAGUGUGUCCCGCCUCGAAACUGUCAUCUCCUCCAUCUACUAUCAGUUGAACAAGCGCCUUCCUUCUACUCACCAAAUUAGUGUGGAACAAUCUAUCAGCCUCCUCCUCAACUUUAUGAUUGCUGCAUAUGACAGUGAGGGCCGAGGCAAGUUGACGGUAUUUUCAGUUAAAGCUAUGUUAGCAACCAUGUGUGGUGGA